Molecule: ribosomal RNA, 254 nt
Filed under: uncultured bacterium
Lineage: Bacteria
Description: partial 16S ribosomal RNA
Rfam family: Bacterial small subunit ribosomal RNA
Source: RNAcentral
GACGAACCGUGCGAACGUUAUUCGGAAUCACUGGGCUUAAAGCGCGUGUAGGCGGGUCGCCACGUCGGAUGUUGAAAUCCCCCGGCUCAACCGGGGAACAGGCACCGAAACGAGCGGCCUGGAGGGGAGUAGGGGGACCUGGAACUUCCGGUGGAGCGGUGAAAUGCGUUGAGAUCGGAAGGAACGCCCGUGGCGAAAGCGAGGUCCUGGGCUCUUACUGACGCUGAGACGCGAAAGCCAGGGGAGCAAACGGG